GGGGAAAUGGCGCAGUGGUAGCGCGUCGAGUUUGCAGGUUUCCAUAUCGGAUUCGAAUGUAAAACAUCUCGAAGGACCGGGGUUCAAUCCCCCGUUUCUCCA
Non-coding RNA from Naganishia friedmannii, 102 nucleotides. The record is from the annotation of a GenBank genome assembly. Lineage: Eukaryota; Fungi; Basidiomycota; Tremellomycetes; Filobasidiales; Filobasidiaceae.